Molecule: long non-coding RNA, 517 nt
Filed under: Bos indicus x Bos taurus (hybrid cattle)
Lineage: Eukaryota; Metazoa; Chordata; Mammalia; Artiodactyla; Bovidae
Description: lncRNA (ENSBIXG00000019119.1)
Source: RNAcentral
AUGUGGAUUCUGAGCCCUAGCUUGUUUCUAGUUUGUCCUAUUGCUUCCUCUUCGCUUUCUUCCUCCUGCACUCAUGGUUCACAGGAGCUCAGUGAAUUCUGUAUAUUUCAGGGGACAGGAGAUGGUUUGAUAACAUGUGAGGAUCCCAGCCUUCUCAUCCUGCCCACCAAAGUGGAUCUGGCUCUUACCCCACUGUCCCUGCUCCCAAGACAGACUGCAGGGUUCUGCCUUUGUCACUUUGGCUCCAGGAUUUGGCACAAAGACAAGGAACAAUAACCACUCGCACGGGCUGGCGGAGACGGAGAACAAGAUACAGAGCCAUCGUUCAACUUCACCCAUCUCACCGCAACCUCAUAAAAAUUAAGGAAUAAUUUUUCAAAGAGAUAAGGGCUGCAGGGACAUGAAAAGCAAAACAACCAAACUGUUUCUGCCCUGAGGAGGUACACACAGGAUGGGAAGGGAUUUCUUUUCCCAUUUUUAAUUUACAAGAACCUUGUAAACCACAAAUUAAAGCAGC